Molecule: long non-coding RNA, 704 nt
Filed under: Mus musculus (house mouse)
Lineage: Eukaryota; Metazoa; Chordata; Mammalia; Rodentia; Muridae
Description: RIKEN cDNA 5031425E22 gene
Source: RNAcentral
AGAGAGUGAGAAGUGAUGACGGUGAUCGUUGUCGCCGCGUCUUCUGUGGAACCCAAGCAGUGCCGAAGGAAGUCGCAAGGCUCUUCCCCGACCUUUUGCUCCUCUCCCUGCGCGAGCCUCAGCUUACAAUGUAGCCCAAGCUGGCCCUUGGAUGUGUGGCAGUCGUACCUCUACCUCCUGAGCACUGAGAUUAUAGAGAUCUAGGCUUACAUUGCUGUUAAGCCUCCAACAGCGGCAGCCAGAUGGUGCAGUGUUUUUGAAACAGGCUCUGAUAAAUCCACAAAGAGCUGACCUUCCAUGCUGUGAGGACCUACUUCAGACCAUCUCCUGCCUCAGUUUGUCUCCUCAGGACUAGAGUGAAGUUCUCCUGUACUGCUUUUUUUACAGGCUUGUCUUCCUAUUCAUCUGUCUUCCAGCAGCCCCCUGUCUGGGACUCUUUGGAAUAAGUCAGUUGCCCCAGGACUUCUUUAAAGUGUCAGUGUAACACCCAGACUACCACAACUACUCCUGCUGCUUAGUUUGGUCUCUGUGAGGAUCCUAUAAUUGUCCAAACCAGAUAUUUUGCCAAGCCAGUCUGUCCUGCUGGGUGAGUCUCCUUGCAGUGAUCUAUCACCUGAUUCGGGAUCCACCCUCUUCCCAGGGCCGGCGCUGUGAAAAUGUUGAUGAUGGCAGUAAUUAAUGCUAAUUAAGAGCUUUGUCAAGAA